Molecule: ribosomal RNA, 300 nt
Filed under: fungal sp.
Lineage: Eukaryota; Fungi
Description: SSU rRNA
Rfam family: Eukaryotic small subunit ribosomal RNA
Source: RNAcentral
UUGGAGGGCAAGUCUGGUGCCAGCAGCCGCGGUAAUUCCAGCUCCAAUAGCGUAUAUUAAAGUUGUUGCAGUUAAAAAGCUCGUAGUUGAAUUUUAGGCCCGGUUGGACGGUCUGCUCUAGGGUUUGUACUGUCCUGACUGGGUCUUCCCUUCUGGUGAGCUGUCGUGUUGUUUACUCAGCGCGGCAGGGAACCAGGACUUUUACUUUGAAAAAAUUAGAGUGUUUAAAGCAGGCAUUCGCUUGAAUACAUUAGCAUUGAAUAAUAGAAUAGGACUUUGGUUCUAUUUUGUUGGUUUUUA